GGGGGUGUAGCUCAGUGGAAGAGUGCAUGUUUAGCAUGCACGAGUUUCCAGGUUCAAUCCCUGGCACCUCCA
Cavia porcellus (domestic guinea pig) is the source of this 72-nucleotide transfer RNA. It matches the Rfam family "tRNA". From Rfam's summary of the family: Transfer RNA (tRNA) molecules are approximately 80 nucleotides in length. Their secondary structure includes four short double-helical elements and three loops (D, anti-codon, and T loops). The record is from Rfam. NCBI's taxonomy places the organism in Eukaryota, Metazoa, Chordata, Mammalia, Rodentia, Caviidae.